This 253-nucleotide ribosomal RNA is filed under the name uncultured prokaryote. Its description in RNAcentral is "partial 16S ribosomal RNA". It matches the Rfam family "Bacterial small subunit ribosomal RNA", at positions 524 to 776 of the family's 1533-position model. The record is from RNAcentral.
UACGUAGGCAGCAAGCGUUGUUCGGAAUUACUGGGCGUAAAGAGUGUGUAGGCGGUUCUCUAAGUUCCGUGUGAAAUCUCCCGGCUUAACUGGGAGGGUGCGCGGGAAGCUGGAGAGCUCGAGCGUGGGAGAGGAAAGCGGAAUUCCCGGUGUAGCGGUGAAAUGCGUAGAUAUCGUAAGGAAGACCAGUGGCGAAGGCGGGUCUCUGGACGGUUCCUGACACUGAGACACGAAGGCCAGGGGAGCAAACGGG